AUUUAUCAUAAAUUAUCAUAUGAACAAACUAAAUACCUCUCUGCCAUAGCUGCUUAACAUUGCUUAAAAUAGUUGAGAGUCAUUUCAAGAUAGAAAAGGCUCCUCUUCUUUUGGUUAAGAAGAAGAAAUUAGCAAGGAAAAAGGCUUUUGUUGGUGCGAGAAAUCAUUCGAUCUCGGGGCACUGGAGUUGAUGACAAGGCGAGCCUCCUGGGCGCUCGACC
This 221-nucleotide long non-coding RNA is filed under the name Elaeis guineensis (African oil palm). Its description in RNAcentral is "long non-coding RNA (EGUI_LNC046948)". Lineage: Eukaryota; Viridiplantae; Streptophyta; Magnoliopsida; Arecales; Arecaceae. The record is from RNAcentral.